UACGUAGGGGGCAAGCGUUGCCCGGAAUCAUUGGGCGUAAAGAGCGUGUAGGCGGCUUGGUAAGUCCGCUGUGAAAGUCCAGGGCUCAACCCUGGAAAGCCGGUGGAAACUGUCAAGCUUGAGUCCGGAAGAGGCGAGUGGAAUUCCUGGUGUAGCGGUGAAAUGCGCAGAUAUCAGGAGGAACACCAAUGGCGAAGGCAGCUCGCUGGGACGGUACUGACGCUGAGACGCGAAAGCGUGGGGAGCGAACAGG
This 253-nucleotide ribosomal RNA is filed under the name uncultured bacterium. RNAcentral describes it as "partial 16S ribosomal RNA". It matches the Rfam family "Bacterial small subunit ribosomal RNA", at positions 524 to 776 of the family's 1533-position model. The record is from RNAcentral.